AAACGGAACCCCAAAAGUAGCUGCCUUGUAGAGAAGAUUCGGCUGCUGUUGAGUUCCGUUGCU
This 63-nucleotide microRNA precursor is filed under the name Callorhinchus milii (elephant shark). RNAcentral's name for it is "Cmi-Mir-191_pre stem-loop". Lineage: Eukaryota; Metazoa; Chordata; Chondrichthyes; Chimaeriformes; Callorhinchidae. The record is from RNAcentral.